UUAAUCCCACUCCACGCCAUCUCAGAUCUCAUCUAUCCCUUCGCCCCUGCCGCUUCGAGCCCUCCCACUGCUGCCGCUUCGAUCCCUCGCCCACUCCCGCCGCUUCGAUUCCUGCCCUGCCGCUUCGAUCCCUCUCUACGCUUCGUUAUCUUCCUCCUCAAAACCCUAAUAACCAAAGAGAGCACGUGUGAGACCCCUUCUCUUCACAAUGCGGCGUGGCGGCGGAGGGGCUGUUGGUUUUGCCGUGCCCUUCGUACGCCGGCGCCGGAUUUUGCUCGCCGCCGGUCGAUUUUAGGGCCCUUCCCACCACCAUGGUUCGUCUCUUUCCUUUUUUUUGUUGUUUGUUUGUUAUUUAUUUAUUUAUUUAUUUAUUUUAGGCUUUGGCUUUGGAUGGAAUAAGAAAGUAGGAUGGUUCAUUUCUACAUCCUGUUGAUCACAAAUUUAUUUUCAAAAAAAUAUUAAUUUUUUUGAAGAAUUCUGUGGAGAGAUUUGGGAUGUUGAACUGUGUGGCUUUUUCCCUGUUCCUUUUUGUGUUCUAGGUUGAUUCCUUGCUCUAUCUGUUAAACUUGGAUUGAAAUUGUGCUAAUUAAUUAACAUCUGUGGGAGGAAUUUGAAACUCAUUUGUUACUUUGUGCAGUUUGUUUGAUUAUGACAAAUAAUUUUAUCCAGGUCAAGUAAGUCCAUAAAUUUAGAUCAGUUUCUGAACUGCAGAGAUCAAAAUGGUUAUUUUUAUGUAAUAAAAUGAUAUUCGUUGAGUGGCCAUACUUGGGUAUUGUAGUUGGUAAAGGGACACAUCUACAUGUAAAAAAAUAUCUUACCUGAUAUAUAUAUAGUUAUUUGUUCUUAUGCAAAUGGAACUAUAUCAUGAAUCGUGUCAUUGUGAGAAUAGUUUUAGGUAUUAUGCGCUGUUGAGGGACCAGAUUAUGUUAGCUGCAUUGUGUGUGAAGUUCUAUAACUAGGUACUUCAAUUGGUUCCUCUUCAUGAUGCCCAUCUUUCUCAUGUUAUAUGUUCUUAUUAAGCAAAAGAAAGGAGUACUAAGCUUUUGUGGAGUUACUGCUAAUAGAUAAAUUAGCUAAACUUCUGUUUUAUUUUAGGGCUGCUAACAAAUGGGACUUCGAGAUAGUUUCGGCGAGCGGAUUCAUGAGCGCUGUUGUUGGUGAGGGUAUCACAUCGAUCCCUGGCUGGACCAUCAAUGGCACACUCGAGCUAAUCUCCUCAGGCCAGCAGCAAGGCGACAUGAUCCUCAUCGUGCCACAAGGUAAUUAACUAAUUAAUUCUGUAACUAUUAAUUAACCUAUGUGAAUUUAUUUUUCAUUGAAGUUAUUUAGGACUUCUAAUAUACGUUAUUUUGUAUUUGAAUAGUCUUAUAUAUUCUUUCCCAAAGAAAAAAAAUCCUCAUAUCGUACAUCCCAGUCCUGGUCGUCAAGAGAACAAAAACUAAAUUUAGUUUUUUUAGUAAAAUUAUAAUCUUAUCUUUCUUUCUUUUUUUUUUUUUUUGUAAUUAGAGCACGACGUUUUAAACUUAAGUAUUUAAACUCCCAGUCCUCUUGCAAUUGCUUCAUUUUUACAGUAGGAACAUAUAGAAGCAAUAUCACUGUGUAAAAAAACUUUGAAUUAUGCCAAGGACCUAUUUGAUUUUGUUUGCUUUUGCUUUUAAUCUCAGUAGUUGUGACGUGGACAAUGUGAUAAUCACUAACAAUGAUGGGAAAUUUGUGCAAUUAAAUUUUGACAGUUAUCAAUAGUUAUCGUAUUAAACCACAUGUGACGUGGACAAUGUGAUAAUCACUAACAAUGAUGGGAAAUUUGUGCAAUUAAAUUUUGACAGUUAUGAAUAGUUAUCGUAUUAAACCACAUAUACGUUUAUUAUUCAAUGGACAAACAGUUCUAUAGUUAGUGAUCACGAAGCUUAUUUUAUGAGCAAUUUAGCCACUAUGACAUUUUUGUCCUGUAGACAAGUUUCCGGUUGCUAUUAUGUAAUUUUUUCUGAUUGGACUCUUUUCUUUGUUAUGACAUUUGACAAUUGCAUCGCUAUUAUUGUGUUUGCUAAUAAUAUUCGCAAUGUAUUUUUCAUCUGAUAUAUGGUAAAACCAUUUGAAUGGCUAGAACCUUCUAGCUUUUAACCUACUUUCAUUGUGAUGCGUCUAGGGGCAAUUAAUCAUCAUGCAUUCAGUUUCUAAGUUUUGUGUAUAUAGUUCUUAUUUACUGAUAUUGUCUAUUUGUCGUGGUAGAUAUUGUAAGCCUUUUUGCUUGUGAAGAUUAGUCCUUGAACAGAUCUCAACUGGAGCAUAGUAUAAAAAACUUGCAUAUAUUUGCAUACAAGCAGUCUAUCAAAAUAGGUCAGUGACGUGGUACUAUAUGAUAUUUUGGAAUGUCCCUUACUAUUUGUAAUGCGACCGUUAUGCCCGUCCAUGGAGGAUCAUUUUUUGGAGUAUUAAGAGAAGAUUUUACCUCUUUACUAAUUUGAUCGGUGUGUUGUCGAAAGUUUAGAUUUUUUGAGUAUUAAGAGUAGAUUUACCUGCUUAUUAAUCAUUUGAGGAUUUUUUUAUUAGGAAAUGUUUGUUAAAAGAUGUUGUACUCAGUGAUUUAAAGGGAUCACUUGCAGAUCUAGAGGAGCCCGGAGGUUUUGAUUGUUUGCAUUAGCAAUGACAUAAAAAAUCCCUUUUUUAAUUGUUCAGGUUGUGUUAAUGAUAUUUUUGUGCGGUAGUUGGGAAGCAUAUAUUUUAUGUUGAGUUUCUUUGUUUUGGUCAAGAGACUUACCAAAAGAGAAAGUUAAAAAAAAAAAGGGUUAAGAGCCUAAGAGGUAUCUUUGUUUAAUACAAAGCUUCGUGUAGUAAUUCCAAUUAAAUUGUUUGGCAUACUUUAUUUUAUAUGAUCUUUGUCUUUUUAAUUAAAAAGGAAAGAUCUCAAUGUACAAUCUAUGAUUAAUUUUGAGCAAGGUUCAUCUUCAUGGUUAGAACUUUGGAGUGUCGAUGGUGGUUGAGCAGUUUGAGGCUAAUUUGAGUUGGCUAAGUUGGGUUGAAUGUUUAGUUGUCUUUAUGCCUGGUCAAUAAUCAAUUGUUUGCAUUCUAUGUGGUUCAUGAGAGGUUUCUGAUUGCUCAAUGUCUCUUGAAUUUUGCUUCUUUCUCAGAAUUGAAAGACGUGAUAAUCCUGUGUAAACCUUUUUAGACUCUGUAGAGUGUCUGGAUGUGAUUGUUUAAAAUGAUAAAGUUUUGGUGAGUUAUCCUGCCUAAAUUGGACUUCUGCUAAUAUAAUUUUUUGGAGGUUAAGAUUUUGGGAAGAAGAUCUCUUACAUGGAAGAUUUCAUGUAAGAAAAAACUAAUUUAUGGGAUCUCCAAAAAUAAAUUUUAUCAUUUGUUCACCAAAGUAAUUAAUGUAUUUAGAUGAAUUUCUAAAAGAAAAAUUAUGCUUUUGCUUGUGAGCUUUUAUCAAAUUUGUGAGAGCGGAAAUUGUGUUUCCUGUACGGUUUUUCAAUUUAUUAUGUUUUCCUUUAUCUUCUCUCGCCGUCUCUUUAGUUCUUUCGUUUUUCUGCAUUUGAUCUUUUCUCGACUUAGCUAGACAUGCAAAAUGAUUUGUCGCCUCUUUGGUUGGGGCCCUUUUUAUGUGUUGGCUACUGCUAGCAUACAGUAGAUACAGAGCCUUGCUGAUUGAUUCUUCACGAGUAUUUUUAUGAAAUAUCAUUCAACAACAUGUCAUUUUGGUCGUAAUCUUCGAUUUGUCUCCAUUUAACAUUUUGUUGCUAGCUUUUUAGCAUGAAUUCACAAAGUCAUGAAAUUAGGUUGAAACUGGAUCAUAUACUAUUGCAGUUCCCAACCACCAUCGACAACUUUUGUCUAAGUAAAGAAGAUCUUUCACCAGAUUUUUCAAGCUUUUAUGUAGAGCUUUCGCAAUUUUUUUAAAAUAACUUGCAUAUUUGAGAGUUACAUGAUAUAUGCAUUAAAUACUUGAUGAAUUAUUUUAAAUUUUUCGAUGAGAUAAUUGUUAGUACAAUAAUUGAGAUACUAUUAAAUCUACCAUUUAGAUGCUGAAAGUUCUAAAUUAGUUUGGUUUGCUUUUAAGUUCUACUUUUUCUUUCUUCUUUUUUUUUUUUCCGAAUGGUAAGUAUUAAGUUUAUGAUUUGGGUUUAUAUUUGAAUCUUAGGACUUGACUUUUUCAUAUCAUCAUAUAAGUGUUGGCUAAAACUAAUAAUGUAUCCAAGUCUUCUUAAUUUACUAAUUCUCCAUUAAUGAGUUGUGUUAUAGGCAAGGUUGAGAAUGUCAACAAAGUUCAAACACUCCUUUUUAGUACUACUCUACCAGGGUGAGGUUGUCGACGUAGUUGAUGACCAUCUUGAGCUUGCUCCUGCCCUCGGAGGCGAGCUCCCAACGCAUCUCCAUAGUCAUGGGAACCGUGAUUUGCCGUAGCUUUUCGAUCAGCAUGGCCCACUGCUCCUCGAGUUUCCUUACUAUCGCCGUUGUGCUCACCUACUACCAUCUGGUGCCGUGCCACCACCUCCGCCACCGCACACACUAUCAUCGACUCUGUCGCCAGUUUCCCCAUCUCCCUUGAUCAAGGGGGGAAAAAAGGGAAAACUGUAUACUAUAUUUUAUACUUAAAAUAGUUGCUACUUUUAUUAUUGUGGUGAUAGCUUCUAUGUUGCGAGGAAUGAGAAAAAAUGUUAUACUAUUAUUUUUACUACUUUUUACUUCUAAAUUUUAUGUGAGUUUAUUAUAUUUGAUAUUUUGAACUUUCUCAAGUAUGCCAGAUUUUUUGUUGUUUAAAGCCGCUGAAUUACAACUGCUUUCGUUUAAUUUUAGCUUCAAGUGCCUCUUCAUUCUUUUGCCUAUUAUAUGUAAGCUGAUUAAAUUGCUUUAAGCUUCUCUAUUU
RNAcentral lists this long non-coding RNA (4864 nucleotides) under Ananas comosus (pineapple). RNAcentral's name for it is "long non-coding RNA (ACOM_LNC026335)". Lineage: Eukaryota; Viridiplantae; Streptophyta; Magnoliopsida; Poales; Bromeliaceae. The record is from RNAcentral.